RNAcentral lists this ribosomal RNA (492 nucleotides) under uncultured bacterium. RNAcentral describes it as "partial 16S ribosomal RNA". It matches the Rfam family "Bacterial small subunit ribosomal RNA", at positions 29 to 507 of the family's 1533-position model. The record is from RNAcentral.
AGUGAACGCUGGCGGUAGGCCUAACACAUGCAAGUCGAACGGCAGCACAGUAAGAGCUUGCUCUUACGGGUGGCGAGUGGCGGACGGGUGAGGAAUACAUCGGAAUCUACUUUUUCGUGGGGGAUAACGUAGGGAAACUUACGCUAAUACCGCAUACGACCUACGGGUGAAAGCAGGGGAUCUUCGGACCUUGCGCGAUUGAAUGAGCCGAUGUCGGAUUAGCUAGUUGGCGGGGUAAAGGCCCACCAAGGCGACGAUCCGUAGCUGGUCUGAGAGGAUGAUCAGCCACACUGGAACUGAGACACGGUCCAGACUCCUACGGGAGGCAGCAGUGGGGAAUAUUGGACAGUGGGCGCAAGCCUGAUCCAGCCAUACCGCGUUGGUGAAGAAGGCCUUCGGGUUGUAAAGCCCUUUUGUUGGGAAAGAAAAGCAGCAGGUUAAUACCCCGCUGUUCUGACGGUACCCAAAGAAUAAGCACCGGCUAACUUCGUG